GACGUAGGAUGCAAGCGUUGUCCGGAUUUAUUGGGCGUAAAGAGUUCGUAGGUGGUUUGUUAAGUCUGAUGUUAAAGACUGGGGCUCAACCUCGGAAAUGCAUUGGAUACUGGCAGACUCGAGUGCAGUAGAGGCAAGUGGAAUUCCCAGUGUAGCGGUGAAAUGCGUAGAUAUUGGGAAGAACACCGGUGGCGCAAGCGACUUGCUGGGCUGUAACUGACGCUGAGGAACGAAAGCUAGGGGAGCAAAUGGG
Molecule: ribosomal RNA, 253 nt
Filed under: uncultured bacterium
Lineage: Bacteria
Description: partial 16S ribosomal RNA
Rfam family: Bacterial small subunit ribosomal RNA
Source: RNAcentral